Molecule: transfer RNA, 90 nt
Filed under: Anaeroselena agilis
Lineage: Bacteria; Bacillati; Bacillota; Negativicutes; Acetonemataceae
Description: tRNA-Ser
Rfam family: tRNA
About the family: Transfer RNA (tRNA) molecules are approximately 80 nucleotides in length.
Source: RNAcentral
GGAGAGAUGUCCGAGUGGAUGAAGGAGCACGAUUGGAAAUCGUGUGUACUGUGAAAGGUACCGAGGGUUCGAAUCCCUCUCUCUCCGCCA